CCAGUUUCAGUAACAUUUAAUCAGGACCGUCGAGGUUCUUUGAUCGAACGAUCCUGAAGCUGGGUGUUUUAAUAGAUAUAUGUCCAACCACGUCCUUACCCCCUUCUCACCGUACCAAACCCUAAUUCCGCCAUCUACCACCGUGAACUGCCGGCCGGAAAUCGCCUCUACCGACGACAGUUGUCCAAUAAGCCCCAAAUUUACACCACUUCAUCUCCGCACCUCCCCAUCCCAAAUCCGCCAUUAAAUUUCCUCAAAGCCAAGCCGAACUUCUCGAAUAUUAGCCAGAAGUACUGGCUCCUCCGCCGGCCACGGCCCAUCACCAAUCGAUCUAAAAUUAACAAUAAAGGGCCCCUGUCUCUUCCUCAUGCCAAAUCCGCACUCAACAUCCUUCAAACACACCUGGAUAUUCUCGUAUAUCGAUUCAAAAGGGACCGCCAAAAUAUCACCACAACCAAAUCAUCCAAAACUACACCCUACAACCUCCCCACCUCCUUCACCUCAAAUCCACAACCUAUUCCCUUGAAUAUCCCCGCAAUUUUGGAUGUACGGCUUCCGGAAUUUUCAACAUAGUGCAUGAAGAACCCUAUUCAAAUUUCAGGGUUCGAAUUGGAGUUCUAAGCUAAGUUUUCUAUGUUUCUUUUCUAAUUUCCUUCCGCCUCACCUCUUUCUGUUAAUUCGUUUAUGAGCCUAAGUAGGUUUAAUUCGAAAUUAUGUCAGUCUCAUUUGCUUAAUAUCUGAGUUCAAAAUUAGAUUCAAAUUGUGUUAGUCGAGUUGGUUUUAAUCUAUUGGUUCAAGUUUUCAUAUUAAAUUACUAAGUUUAAUUAAUUUUGAUUCGAGUUGUGUUAGUCUUUUUCAAUUGAGCUGAUGUCCAUGUUAAAUUACUAAGCUUAAUUAGUUUUGAUUCAAAUUUUAUUAAUUUUUCUGUUAAGUUCAUUUCUGCUCCUGAGUUUAAAUUAGGUCUAGUUGUUAGUCUAGUCUGUUGUUCAAUUUAGGUUUAGAUUAACUCUAAUUAAUACUUAGCCUUGUUUGAUUAUUCUUUUAGAAUUAUUUGAUCCAUUUGAACCCCGGCUGUUUGAGCAAAUUAGAGGGUAAAUACAGGGUACACUAGGGCAAAUAUAGGUAGCUUAAAGAAAGAAUCUAGCAGUAACAGAAAAUGGAAGGCAAUAGAACCUUCUAGACUGGGGUUCCAAUUUGAAUAUUAGGACUUAAGUAGUAUAAGUUGGGUAACAAGUCAGUACUCUAAGGGCUCUUAAGCUAAAACUUAAAAUUAGGAGGGACUAAGGGGGUAAAAAACUAAAUAUGAAAGAUGCCCUAAUAUUUGCCUAUGAAAGGCAGCCUGCCUUGCAAGUUAAGUUGGGAAGUCUAAAAAUUGGAAAUCCAAAGUUUUGAAAUCUAAGAGUUUGGAGAGGGAAUUUCGGAUCUUAAAGAGUUCUAGAGAGCCUAAAAAGCUACAAAAAUUCAACACAAAUCUCUGCAGAGUUUGGGAGUUCAAAUACAUAGAUUUUAAAUCUUAGAGGAAAGGAAAUCUUGAAAAUCAACACAAAAAUAGCUUAGGAGUCCAGCAGAGCUACUGUUUGUAUUCGUUUGGUUGAGAAGUGUUUAAGUUUGUUCAUUAAAGCUUGGUGUUAGAUUCAGCUGGUUAUUAGUCAAUUGGUUAAACUCUAAGGCAUUUCGAGUCGUUAGCUGGGUUAAUACUUGUUGCUGAUUUCCCAUACUAUUUGCUGAUACUCUCGCUCACUUUUGUCUUCAAUUUCCAGGUAUUUACUUAACCUUUGAAGGGCCAGAGGUUGUGAAAAUAUAUAGUUGAAGAGUGAUUUGAAUAGAAGGCUGUUCUAAGCUGAUUUCCUUUUCCUGAUUCCCCGUCUAUUCAUUUGAUUUGUAAUAGGAAAUGUAAUCCUAUAUUCUGUUCGACUUGUUGAUCUAUGCAAUAGUCAUUAGUAAAAACAACAGGGCACCGGUGCUUGAUAGUUUAUAGCAUAGGCUGUUUCAGGACUGUAUUAUUCAUUUACUCAAACUCUGUUCUAAGUAGGUAAAGCAUGUGUAGUUAAAUAAAGACUGUUGCAAGAGUAGCUUGUAUUAAUUAGUUUUGCUGAGAUUAGUUUGGAUCCUGUUUUAAAUCGGGAAGUAGGUCCGUUAAAAUUGCUCAAGUUCCUUUUAAUUUACUGAAUGUAUCUCAGAUAUCCUAGCCUAAACACAUGGGUUUUAAAAAGUUAAUACUAGAUUCAUGUAUUCUUUUAAGGAAAUCAAUCAGAUAAUAUGUUUUUAAUUGUUUUGUUUUUUUUUAAAAUUGGAUCGUAAGCAGUUUGAAUUGUUCUAGUUGUUUUAAAUUGUAUUAGUUCCUUUAAGGAAAUCGUUACUGUGAUAGCCAAUCAAUAAUUUCGAAUCUAAAAGAAAAUGAACAAAAAUUCAAAUUUAUCUUUUUAUACUUGUUAUUUGAAGUGUAAAUUAAAGGCUGCCUAUGAUUGAAAAUGGGCCUGUUUAUGGGCCCAAAAUUUGAACAGCUUUACAGCUGAGGCACCAGUAUACGGGCAGCUUCAGUGACAUCGAAUUUUAAAUAUUGGGCCUCUCUUUCUGGCCCAGCUGGGUCAUA
RNAcentral lists this long non-coding RNA (2593 nucleotides) under Nicotiana benthamiana. RNAcentral's name for it is "long non-coding RNA (NBEN_LNC004974)". Lineage: Eukaryota; Viridiplantae; Streptophyta; Magnoliopsida; Solanales; Solanaceae. The record is from RNAcentral.